AUGAAGAACAUCCAAGAUUAUAUGGUCGAGAAGCUCAGCGUCGACAAGAGCAUCAUCCUAGAGCUCUGCAUCAUCCUCUACAAGCAAGUACCGAACCACCAUGGCCAUGCCACUGUCUUGACCAUGUGUCUGUUGUGGUCCUUGAUGCAGGCCAUUGUGCACCAAUUUGACGACAAUGAUUUCCACAGCUUUGUUCAUGGAUGGCUGGCUUAUGAAAAGCUCACGCCGACGCCUCCGGUGUGGCUUCCCCUACGCCUCCAGCAUAGAAAUGGUCUCUUGCACGCAAAUGUUCUGUGUUUGAUCAAUCCAAAUCUGCAGUUGUCUCCCCAUGUAAUGGCAUCAAGUUCAGAGCGCCCCAACUGCCUCUCCUUCGACCGUGGUUCAGUUAGUUGA
Molecule: ribosomal RNA, 393 nt
Filed under: Triticum aestivum (bread wheat)
Lineage: Eukaryota; Viridiplantae; Streptophyta; Magnoliopsida; Poales; Poaceae
Description: partial small subunit ribosomal RNA
Source: RNAcentral